This 193-nucleotide ribosomal RNA is filed under the name uncultured bacterium. RNAcentral describes it as "partial 16S ribosomal RNA". It matches the Rfam family "Bacterial small subunit ribosomal RNA", at positions 1307 to 1500 of the family's 1533-position model. The record is from RNAcentral.
GCAACUCGCCUGCAUGAAGUUGGAAUUGCUAGUAAUCGCGGAUCAGCAUGCCGCGGUGAAUACGUUCCCGGGCCUUGUACACACCGCCCGUCACACCAUGGGAGCCGGUAAUACCCGAAGUCAGUAGCCUAACCGCAAGGGGGCGCUGCCGAAGGUAGGAUUGGCGACUGGGGUGAAGUCGUAACAAGGUAGC